RNAcentral lists this long non-coding RNA (1164 nucleotides) under Equus caballus (horse). Its description in RNAcentral is "lncRNA (ENSECAG00000059956.1)". Lineage: Eukaryota; Metazoa; Chordata; Mammalia; Perissodactyla; Equidae. The record is from RNAcentral.
CAGUGGCAUGAUUGACGUUACAGCAAUCAUAAAAAUCAACACUUGUUUAUAUUCCAAAUAAAUCAAUCCCCACCAAUCAGCAACGAGGCCUAUCAAGAUAGGCAUAUAAAUGGAAAAUGUUUAACCAAAUAUUCUCCUUCAAAUAGUGAGGACCUUUAGUGCUCCAGUGGCAGUUAAGCUCAGGGUUUCCUUGCCUUCAUCUGACUUCCUUGCCAACCAUGAGAGCCUGCCACCCCUGCGGGCAGUAUAGACAUGAAGAGAGAGCACUCAGCUUCUGCUUUAGCACUGAUUGCCCACAUCGCAGCCUGCACCAUCCUUGCUGACUCCCUUUGGACUCAAGACUUUGCCCAAGUCUUGUCUGUUCCAUUAGGUUCUAUUCCUUUGUCUCCCUGGUUCUAAAGUUGAACAGGUCCCUUUCUCCUAACUGAAAGUCCUCUCCUUCACUCUAGAGAGGAGGUCUGUUGAAUUCCACGUGAUGGGGAAGCCUUAUGAGUUGUAGAUCUUCGUUGUCCUGUUUCUUGAAUCCAGCUAAUAUAAAGGGCAAGACACCAGCAAAGUUUUCACCAAUACACUCUAUUAUAGGUGGUCUUACACAGGAGAAGUCAGAUUUUGGAGUUUUCAAGAAUCCAAUUUCUCCUUAUUUUGAUCUUAAAUGAUCCCAGUGUGCUAAAAAUACUCCAGAGAUUCUUAGAGUAUAUAGAUCCCUCUUCAAUAUUAAGAAAAUAAAGAGAAAAGUUUUUUGUCAUGAUGGAUUGGAAGGUAUGCAACCCAAUUACUGAAAAUCAAUUCUCCUUAAUCAGAAAACAGAGUUAAUUCCUGACACUGGCCUUGCCAUGAUGUGAUAUUUGUAGAGAAUUAAAAUAUCAUGAUAACACAAAUCAUUCUGACUUGUGGGAUUUCUAACAAAAAGAUUAAAACUGCAUUCUGCAGCCACGCAAAUUAGCAUAGACCUCUUCUACAGCCUCAGACACAGGAACAAAACAGGAGCAGUUCUCAAUAAAACUAAACUGUUGAAAAUAGGAAGGCAGAACUCAAAACAGUAAAUAGGAGCCUUCAAUUCUUUGUUUCCGUAAGCUGCUGAAGCUGAGCCCCCUGGUGCAUCACUGCAAGUACUGCUAUGUACAGAGAUGGCCAUUGGAAGUCCAAAUGGCUGAUUGUUUUCAG